RNAcentral lists this long non-coding RNA (385 nucleotides) under Homo sapiens (human). Its description in RNAcentral is "non-protein coding lnc-FAM153C-1:14". Lineage: Eukaryota; Metazoa; Chordata; Mammalia; Primates; Hominidae. The record is from RNAcentral.
UCAACCAGAAAAUAACAGCUCUGAUUUCUCAUGGCUCACACUCUUCUGAAACGACUCGGGUAGAGGCUGAGGAAGGCCGUGUUGUUUGUCUACCUGGGACUAAAUUCUGGUUAUUGAAUCACAGCACCUACUGAAAGAAGUUCUCAAGUUCUGACUGAGUUCUAAAAUUUUUUGAAGAUUAGAAUUCUUCAUAUGUGGGAUGAGAGACUGAGAAAAGAAAUAAGACACGGAGACAAAGUACAGAGAAAGAACAGCGGGCCCAGGAGACCGGCACUCAGCAUACGGAGGACCAGCACUGGCACCGGCCUCUGAGUUCCCUCAGUUUAUUGAUUACCAUUUUCAGUGUCUCAGCAAGAGGAAUGCGGUAGGAGAGCAGGGUGUCAGC